Molecule: ribosomal RNA, 445 nt
Filed under: uncultured bacterium
Lineage: Bacteria
Description: bacterial SSU rRNA
Rfam family: Bacterial small subunit ribosomal RNA
Source: RNAcentral
CCAGACUCCUACGGGAGGCAGCAGUGGGGAAUAUUGCACAAUGGGGGAAACCCUGAUGCAGCGACGCCGCGUGAGUGAAGAAGUAUUUCGGUAUGUAAAGCUCUAUCAGCAGGGAAGAAAAUGACGGUACCUGACUAAGAAGCCCCGGCUAACUACGUGCCAGUAGCCGCGGUAAUACGUAGGGGGCAAGCGUUAUCCGGAUUUACUGGGUGUAAAGGGAGCGUAGACGGCAGAGCAAGUCUGAAGUGAAAGCCCGCGGCCCAACUGCGGGACUGCUUUGGAAACUGCCCGGCUAGAGUGCUGGAGAGGUAAGCGGAAUUCCUAGUGUAGCGGUGAAAUGCGUAGAUAUUAGGAAGAACACCAGUGGCGAAGGCGGCUUUCUGGACUGAAACUGACGCUGAGGCACGAAAGCGUGGGGAGCGAACAGGAUUAGAUACCCUAGUAA